GAGUAACCAUUUGGAGCUAGCCGUCGAAGGUGGGACAAAUGAUUGGGGUGAAGUCGUAACAAGGUAGCCGUAUCGGAAGGUGCGGCUGGAUCACCUCCUUUCUAAGGA
Molecule: ribosomal RNA, 108 nt
Filed under: Staphylococcus epidermidis
Lineage: Bacteria; Bacillati; Bacillota; Bacilli; Caryophanales; Staphylococcaceae
Also listed under: 2 other names
Description: partial 16S ribosomal RNA
Rfam family: Bacterial small subunit ribosomal RNA
Source: RNAcentral